GACUAAGUGCAUGUGGUGGAUGCCUUGGCGAUUACAGGCGAUGAAGGACGUGAUAGCCUGCGAUAAGCUUCGGGGAGCUGGCAAAUUAGCUUUGAUCCGGAGAUUUCCGAAUGGGGAAACCCACCCCUAGGGGUAUCGUGCGGUGAAUACAUAGCUGCACGAGGCGAACCGGGUGAACUGAAACAUCUCAGUAGCUCGAGGAAAAGACAUCAACCGAGAUUCCGAAAGUAGUGGCGAGCGAAAUCGGACUAGCCUGUGCGUUUUAGCACUCGAAUUAUCAGAACAGUUUGGAAAGGCUGACCAUAGCGGGUGAUAGUCCCGUAUGAAAAAAUUCGAGUGUGGAACUAAGCGUACGACAAGUAGGGCGGGACACGAGAAAUCCUGUCUGAAUAUGGGGGGACCAUCCUCCAAGGCUAAAUACUCGUAAUCGACCGAUAGCGAACUAGUACCGUGAGGGAAAGGCGAAAAGAACCCCGGGAGGGGAGUGAAAUAGAUCCUGAAACCGCGUGCUUACAAAAAGUAGGAGCCUCGUAAGGGGUGACUGCGUACCUUUUGUAUAAUGGGUCAGCGACUUAAUCUGACGAGCAAGCUUAAGCCGGUAGGUGUAGGCGCAGCGAAAGCGAGUCUGAACAGGGCGUUCAGUUCGUCGGAUUAGACCCGAAACCGGGUGAUCUAGCCAUGAGCAGGCUGAAGGUGCGGUAACACGCACUGAAGGGCCGAACCCACGUCUGUUGAAAAAGACGGGGAUGACUUGUGGCUAGGGGUGAAAGGCCAAUCAAACUCGGAAAUAGCUGGUUCUCCGCGAAAGCUAUUUAGGUAGCGCCUCGUGAACUCAUCUUCGGGGGUAGAGCACUGUUUCGGCUAGGGGGCCAUCCCGGCUUACCA
Molecule: ribosomal RNA, 885 nt
Filed under: Gloeochaete wittrockiana
Lineage: Eukaryota; Glaucocystophyceae; Gloeochaetales; Gloeochaetaceae
Description: partial Bacterial large subunit ribosomal RNA
Rfam family: Bacterial large subunit ribosomal RNA
Source: RNAcentral